This is a long non-coding RNA of Malaclemys terrapin pileata, 504 nucleotides long. RefSeq lists it as uncharacterized. NCBI's taxonomy places the organism in Eukaryota, Metazoa, Chordata, Testudines, Emydidae. The record is from RefSeq and is a predicted model, not a curated record. The transcript is spliced from 3 exons.
UGGGACCAGCUUCCUUGCGUGCCUGCAGACCCAGCAACUUCCCAGGGAAGGAAGGGCAGUUUGUGGCAGUUCCUGUAUUUCUGGUACCUCUUUAGGGCCCCGUGCAGCCCCUGUGUGGAACUGGCCCCCGUUUCGCCCACCUGCAUUUCUAACGUACUUGUCACUGGCCCUAUGAUCGUUUCCCAGCUCUUCCGCUGGCCAACUGGAAAUUAACCCUUGGAGAGGACGUGUGGAGAUCUCAAAGUCACGGAGGGGCCCAGGAGCUUCCUAGGAUCCUUAUCCAAGCGAUACCCAGAAACUCCCGGCACAGGGAGGGCAUUGCAAGACUGAGAGCUCAUCGGGACAGUGACUGUCUCUACAUCCCGGGUCUGCACCAGCCAGAGUGACACGGCCCCACCACCACCUCAAGAGUGAGGCCCCAGUGAUGCCAAGGACGGGAGACACCGUAACCAGCUGAGCAAAGCACAGACAGAAUCAAGAGGGCACAGAGAGGAGGACGGGUGC